This 1264-nucleotide ribosomal RNA is filed under the name Prosopocoilus bulbosus mandibularis. RNAcentral describes it as "16S ribosomal RNA". The stretch from base 1027 to 1185 matches the Rfam family "Archaeal large subunit ribosomal RNA", at positions 2542 to 2701 of the family's 2987-position model. Lineage: Eukaryota; Metazoa; Arthropoda; Insecta; Coleoptera; Lucanidae. The record is from RNAcentral.
GAUUUAAAUUUUUAUUGACAUGAGGAUUUUAAAAAUAAUUGUAUGUUUUAGUAAUGGUUUGAAAAAAUUUAUUUAAUUAUAGAUUAAUAGUACAGUGAAGGGAUAUUUUAAAUAUUUAGAAGAAUAUCUUAUUUAUAGUACCUUUUGUAUCAGGGUUUAUUAAAAGGGGCCUUAAAAUAGGGUUUUCUCGAAUUUAUGAGAGCUAAAAAUAUAUAAAUAUUAAUGUGGAAUAAUUAUUUAUAAUAUGUUUUUUGUAAUUAGACGUUAGUCGUGCUUAAAUAUAUCUAGUUUUUCAAGAAAUUAAUUUAAUUAAGCUUGUCUAUAGGGUUAUUUUUUUAGUAAAUUAAUCCUUAGGCUAUGUAAUAUCUAAGGGGAUAAGCUUUUGGAUAGAUUUUUAGAAGUAAAAUUUCGUUUGAAGUUAAAUAGGAAUAGAAGUUUUCAUUUUUUGUAGUGUUUUAUAGCUAGGUUUCAGGGGAGAUAAUUUAUUUAAUUUUAGGUUUUUUAUUGUAAUAUUAAAUUGAAUAGGGUAUUUUAAGAAAUAAUGAUGGAAUGAGUAUAAUUUAUACGUAGUUUGUUUAAUAAUUGAGAGGUUUAGCUAAGUAAUUCGGCAAAUUUAUUUUCUGCCUGUUUAUUAAAAACAUGGCCUUUUGGGAAUUAUUUAAGGUCUGGCCUGCCCUAUGAUUAAUUAAAUGGCCGCGGUACUUUGACCGUGCAAAGGUAGCAUAAUCAUUAGUUUCUUAAUUAGAAGCUUGAAUGAACGGUCGGACAAGAAAAUUGCUGUCUCAGUUGAAUGGUUUUAGAAUUUUAUUUUUUAGUUAGAAAGCUUAAAUGUUUUUAGGGGACGAGAAGACCCUAUAGAAUUUUAUAAAUUUUCUUAUGUUAGGUUUUUAGUUGAUUUUUUUUGAUUUUGGGGAAUUUAUUUUGUUGGGGUGAUGGAAAAAUUUAGUUAACUUUUUUUUUAUUAAUACCACUUAUUGGUGUUUAAGUGAUCCGUUUUUUACGAUUAAAAGAUUAAAUUACCUUAGGGAUAACAGCGUAAUUAAUUUGGAGAGUUCUUAUCGAUAAAUUAGUUUGCGACCUCGAUGUUGGAUUAAAAUUUAUUUUUGGUGUAGUAGCUGAAAAACUAAGUCUGUUCGACUUUUAAAAUUUUACAUGAUCUGAGUUUAAACCGGUGUGAGCCAGGUUGGUUUCUAUCUUUAGGAAAGGCGAAUGUUUUAGUACGAAAGGACCAAACAUUUAUUUGAUAAAUUUAGAUUAGAAUAUU